GAAGCGAGAGAACGUUGCGUCAGCAACGGCCCGCAGGGCGAGCCACGCAGUGGCGAGUCAUCCUCUAUCACCGACCA
Molecule: small RNA, 77 nt
Filed under: Salmonella enterica subsp. enterica serovar Infantis
Lineage: Bacteria; Pseudomonadati; Pseudomonadota; Gammaproteobacteria; Enterobacterales; Enterobacteriaceae
Also listed under: 5 other names
Description: partial RtT sRNA
Rfam family: RtT RNA
About the family: This family represents a bacterial cis-regulatory element known as RtT RNA. The exact function of RtT is unknown although it is thought that it may be involved in changing the cellular response in relation to amino acid starvation.
Source: RNAcentral